GAUGAACGCUGGCGGCGUGCCUAAUACAUGCAAGUCGAGCGAACGGACGAGAAGCUUGCUUUUCUGAUGUUAGCGGCGGACGGGUGAGUAACACGUGGAUAACCUACCUAUAAGACUGGGAUAACUUCGGGAAACCGGAGCUACUACCGGAUAAUAUUUUGAACCGCAUGGUUCAAAAGUGAAAGACGGCCUUGCUGUCACUUAUAGAUGGAUCCGCGCUGCAUUAGCUAGUUGGUAAGGUAACGGCUUACCAAGGCAACGAUGCAUAGCCGACCUGAGAGGGUGAUCGGCCACACUGGAACUGAGACACGGUCCAGACUCCUACGGGAGGCAGCAGUAGGGAAUCUUCCGCAAUGGGCGAAAGCCUGACGGAGCAACGCCGCGUGAGUGAUGAAGGUCUUCGGAUCGUAAAACUCUGUUAUUAGGGAAGAACAUAUGUGUAAGUAACUGUGCACAUCUUGACGGUACCUAAUCAGAAAGCCACGGCUAACUACGUG
Molecule: ribosomal RNA, 497 nt
Filed under: uncultured bacterium
Lineage: Bacteria
Description: partial 16S ribosomal RNA
Rfam family: Bacterial small subunit ribosomal RNA
Source: RNAcentral